CGCCGCCGCCGCGGCGCGUUCAGGGGGCUCAGGAGUCGCCCAAGCAAACGCGGGCUCCGCGGGCGGACCACGGAAGCGGGGUGGCCGCCCCGGUCCCACCCCAGCCCGGAACAAAUGCCCACAGUCGCUGGGAGUCGAGAGGCCGGCCCAAAGGGUACUUGAGCGUCAGCGCUCCGUAACGGAUUCCGUCUUGCCCGCACGGAAAGGCAUUUGAAACCACAGGGCUGGAUGAGGUCAUCCCAGAAGAGAAUAAAUUGAGAAGAAAAGGAUUCCAAGAAGCUGCCCCUUUCGUGGAAGAAGAGUCUGAAGAGAAGCCAGUGGGAUGAGAGAAUAAUGGAGAAUAUGUGGUCAUGAAAGCCAAAUAUCUAAAUAUUUUAAUAAGGGAUAAUCAGCUACAUUGAAUACUAUCAAGAGAUUAAAGAGUAUAGAAAUAUA
Long non-coding RNA from Peromyscus eremicus (cactus mouse), 435 nucleotides. RefSeq lists it as uncharacterized. The transcript is spliced from 2 exons. The record is from RefSeq and is a predicted model, not a curated record. Lineage: Eukaryota; Metazoa; Chordata; Mammalia; Rodentia; Cricetidae.